This 425-nucleotide ribosomal RNA is filed under the name uncultured bacterium. RNAcentral's name for it is "bacterial SSU rRNA". It matches the Rfam family "Bacterial small subunit ribosomal RNA", at positions 541 to 968 of the family's 1533-position model. The record is from RNAcentral.
UUAUCCGGAUUUAUUGGGUUUAAAGGGUGCGUAGGCGGCAAGGUAAGUCAGCGGUGAAAGAUCAGGGCUCAACUCUGGAAGUGCCGUUGAUACUGUCUGGCUAGAAUGAUUCCGCCGUGGGAGGAAUGAGUAGUGUAGCGGUGAAAUGCAUAGAUAUUACUCAGAACACCGAUUGCGAAGGCAUCUCACGAGGGGUUCAUUGACGCUGAGGCACGAAAGCGUGGGGAUCGAACAGGAUUAGAUACCCUGGUAGUCCACGCAGUAAACGAUGAUGGCUAACUGUCGGGCCUUCGGGUUCGGCGGCCAAGCGAAAGCGAUAAGCCAUCCACCUGGGGAGUACGACCGCAAGGUUGAAACUCAAAGGAAUUGACGGGGGCCCGCACAAGCGGAGGAACAUGUGGUUUAAUUCGAUGAUACGCGAGGAA